This 205-nucleotide long non-coding RNA is filed under the name Cicer arietinum (chickpea). RNAcentral describes it as "long non-coding RNA (CARI_LNC001382)". The record is from RNAcentral. Lineage: Eukaryota; Viridiplantae; Streptophyta; Magnoliopsida; Fabales; Fabaceae.
UAAAAUGUAUCUAAAUAAAUCAAGUAGCAACCGUAGAGCAAAUAAUUAGAUCAAACUAAAAAUAACCAUAGAAUAUAUGCAAGUUAUGCAUGCUCCUAAAUAUAUAUGAUCCGGAUAUAACCAGCCACAUAGGCGUCCACACAGAAGUCACCCAUACCAAUGGGGAAAAAUUAAACCAGCCACACAGGCGUCCACAAAGAUGCAU